This 468-nucleotide ribosomal RNA is filed under the name uncultured bacterium. RNAcentral's name for it is "partial 16S ribosomal RNA". It matches the Rfam family "Bacterial small subunit ribosomal RNA", at positions 28 to 507 of the family's 1533-position model. The record is from RNAcentral.
GACGAACGCUGGCGGCGUGCUUAACACAUGCAAGUCGAACGGAAAGGCCCUGCUUUUGUGGGGUGCUCGAGUGGCGAACGGGUGAGUAACACGUGAGUAACCUGCCCUUGACUUUGGGAUAACUUCAGGAAACUGGGGCUAAUACCGGAUAGGCGCUCCUGCUGCCUGGUGGGGGGUGGAAAGUUUCGGCGGUUGGGGAUGGACUCGCGGCUUGUCAGCUGGUUGGUGGGGUAGUGGCUUACCAAGGCUUUGACGGGUAGCCGGCCUGCUAGGGUGACGGGCCACAUUGGGACUGAGAUACGGCGCGGACUCGUACGGGGGGCAGCAGUGGGGAAUAUUGCACAAUGGGCGGAAGCCGGAGGGAGCAACGUCGAGGGCGGGAUGACGGCCUUCGGGUUGUAAACCGCUUUCGCCUGUAACGAAGCGUGAGUGACGGUAAUGGGUAAAGAAGCACCGGCUAACUACGUG